GGGACCACAGCUCAGUGGUAGAGCAUCUACUUUACAUGUAGAAGGUCCCAAGUUUGGUCCCA
RNAcentral lists this transfer RNA (62 nucleotides) under Sphaerodactylus townsendi. RNAcentral describes it as "tRNA-Val". It matches the Rfam family "tRNA". From Rfam's summary of the family: Transfer RNA (tRNA) molecules are approximately 80 nucleotides in length. Their secondary structure includes four short double-helical elements and three loops (D, anti-codon, and T loops). The record is from RNAcentral. Lineage: Eukaryota; Metazoa; Chordata; Lepidosauria; Squamata; Sphaerodactylidae.